UGGGGAAUAUUGCACAAUGGGCGCAAGCCUGAUGCAGCCAUGCCGCGUGUAUGAAGAAGGCCUUCGGGUUGUAAAGUACUUUCAGUCGGGAGGAAGGUGGUAAGGUUAAUAACCUUAUCAAUUGACGUUACCGACAGAAGAAGCACCGGCUAACUCCGUGCCAGCAGCCGCGGUAAUACGGAGUGUGCAAGCGUUAAUCGGAAUUACUAGGCGUAAAGCGCACGCAGGCGGUUGAUUAAGUCAGAUGUGAAAUCCCCGGGCUUAACCCGGGAAUUGCAUCUGAUACUGGUCAGCUAGAGUCUUGUAGAGGGGGGUAGAAUUCCAUGUGUAGCGGUGAAAUGCGUAGAGAUGUGGAGGAAUACCGGUGGCGAAGGCGGCCCCCUGGACAAAGACUGACGCUCAGGUGCGAAAGCGUGGGGAGCAAACAGG
Molecule: ribosomal RNA, 429 nt
Filed under: Chloroflexota bacterium
Lineage: Bacteria; Bacillati; Chloroflexota
Description: Chloroflexi bacterium partial 16S ribosomal RNA
Rfam family: Bacterial small subunit ribosomal RNA
Source: RNAcentral